AACGGAUUCGUCUUGAAGAUCGCGCGGUUAAGAUGUCGGUGAAAACCGUCGGCAAGGAAAAAGUUGGCGUACUGGAUAUUCCGGGCUUCUAUGUCGGCUUGACCGAUGAUGUCAAAGUUCAGCUUCAGAAGCUGGAAAAACAGAACGUUAAUAGCAUCGUUAUCGAUCUGCGUUCAAACGGCGGUGGGGCGCUGACGGAAGCCGUUUCGCUUUCCGGUCUGUUUAUCCCUUCUGGUCCGAUAGUUCAGGUGCGCGACAAUAACGGCAAAGUGCGUGAGGAU
This 281-nucleotide unclassified non-coding RNA is filed under the name uncultured fungus. RNAcentral's name for it is "partial internal transcribed spacer 1". Lineage: Eukaryota; Fungi. The record is from RNAcentral.